Molecule: long non-coding RNA, 461 nt
Organism: Hypanus sabinus (Atlantic stingray)
Lineage: Eukaryota; Metazoa; Chordata; Chondrichthyes; Myliobatiformes; Dasyatidae
Exons: 3
Source: RefSeq, a predicted model, not a curated record
GUGGGGAUUGUGCUGAGCAGCCCACAGGUGUCACCAUGCUUCCAACGGCAACAUAGCAGGCCCCAACUUACUGACCCAAACCCUAACUCUCACGUUUUUGGAAUAUGGACGAAGCUGGAGUACCUGGAGGAAACACGCAAUCUUGGGUAGAACAUACAAACUUCUUACAGACGAAUAGCAGUGGGAAUCCUACAACUGCCCCCCAUAAGGUCUAUGGCUGGAAUGAGGAGCCGCCUUUCACAGCCACUUGGCUGAGAUUAGCUGAUUCACAGUCCAGGUCUCAUUUCUGACAUUGCACUGAACUCACUGCAGUAACCAACAUCUGGGAUACCCAAGCUUGCAGCAGCUGUAAAAGCGUUUCAUGAACAUCAUCAGGUGCCAGAGUGGGAAAACUUUCCAAGGGGGCUCGGUGGGGGCGGUGGUAACAGUGACCCGGUACUGCACGCUUCCGGAGAACGGCG